Molecule: ribosomal RNA, 253 nt
Filed under: uncultured bacterium
Lineage: Bacteria
Description: partial 16S ribosomal RNA
Rfam family: Bacterial small subunit ribosomal RNA
Source: RNAcentral
UACAGAGGGCUCAAGCGUUGUUCGGAUUCACUGGGCGUAAAGGGCGCGUAGGCGGUGAGGUAAGUCGGAUGUGAAAUCCCGGGGCUCAACCCCGGAGCUGCAUUCGAUACUGCCGUGCUUGAGCACUGGAGAGGAGACUGGAAUUUACGGUGUAGCAGUGAAAUGCGUAGAUAUCGUAAGGAAGACCAGUGGCGAAGGCGAGUCUCUGGACAGUUGCUGACGCUGAGGCACGAAGGCCAGGGGAGCAAACGGG